ACGGGAGGCAGCAGUGGGGAAUUUUGGGCAAUGGGCGAAAGCCUGAUCCAGCGACGCCGCGUGAGGGAAGAAGUAUUUCGGGAUGUAAAGCUCUAUCAGCAGGGAAGAUAAUGACGGUACCUGACUAAGAAGCCCCGGCUAACUACGUGCCAGCAGCCGCGGUAAUACGUAGGGGGCAAGCGUUAUCCGGAUUUACUGGGUGUAAAGGGAGCGUAGACGGUAUGGCAAGUCUGAUGUGAAAACCCAGGGCUCAACCCUGGGACUGCAUUGGAAACUGUCAAACUAGAGUGCAGGAGAGGUAAGUGGAAUUCCUAGUGUAGCGGUGAAAUGCGUAGAUAUUAGGAGGAACACCAGUGGCGAAGGCGGCUUACUGGACCGUAACUGACGUUGAGGCUCGAAAGCGUGGGGAGCAAACAGGAUUAGAUACCCUGGUA
This 434-nucleotide ribosomal RNA is filed under the name uncultured Lachnospiraceae bacterium. RNAcentral's name for it is "partial 16S ribosomal RNA". It matches the Rfam family "Bacterial small subunit ribosomal RNA", at positions 341 to 792 of the family's 1533-position model. The record is from RNAcentral. Lineage: Bacteria; Bacillati; Bacillota; Clostridia; Lachnospirales; Lachnospiraceae.